RNAcentral lists this ribosomal RNA (430 nucleotides) under Acanthamoeba sp. MN-ISP40-T4. RNAcentral describes it as "SSU rRNA". The stretch from base 1 to 364 matches the Rfam family "Eukaryotic small subunit ribosomal RNA", at positions 775 to 1116 of the family's 1831-position model. The record is from RNAcentral. Lineage: Eukaryota; Discosea; Longamoebia; Acanthamoebidae.
UUGAGGUCAGCUGCAGAUCCAUUUUCUGCCACCGAAUACAUUAGCAUGGGAUAAUGGAAUAGGACCCUGUCCUCCUAUUUUCAGUUGGUUUUGGCAGCGCGAGGACUAGGGUAAUGAUUAAUAGGGAUAGUUGGGGGCAUUAAUAUUUAAUUGUCAGAGGUGAAAUUCUUGGAUUUAUGAAAGAUUAACUUCUGCGAAAGCAUCUGCCAAGGAUGUUUUCAUUAAUCAAGAACGAAAGUUAGGGGAUCGAAGACGAUCAGAUACCGUCGUAGUCUUAACCAUAAACGAUGCCGACCAGCGAUUAGGAGACGUUGAAUACAAAACACCACCAUCGGUUGCGGUCGUCCUUGGCGUCUCGGUUUCGGCCGGGGCGCGGGGACGGUUUAGCCCGGUGGCACCGGUGAAUGACUCCCUAGACUUUGGUGGAGAA